UGCGCAGGCGGACCUGUCAGUCAGUGGUGAAAUCCCGGGGCUCAACUCCGGAACUGCCAUUGAUACUGCAGAUCUUGAAUACGGUUGAGGUAGGCGGAAUGUAGCAUGUAGCGGUGAAAUGCAUAGAUAUGCUACAGAACACCGAUCGCGAAGGCAGCUUACCAAGCCGAUAUUGACGCUCAGGCACGAAAGCGUGGGGAGCGAACAGGAUUAGAUACCCUGGUAGUCC
This 229-nucleotide ribosomal RNA is filed under the name uncultured bacterium. Its description in RNAcentral is "partial 16S ribosomal RNA". It matches the Rfam family "Bacterial small subunit ribosomal RNA", at positions 568 to 796 of the family's 1533-position model. The record is from RNAcentral.